GGACUACACGGGUAUCUAAUCCUGUUCGCUCCCCUGGCUUUCGCGCCUCAGCGUCAGAUGCCAGCCAGGACACUGCCUUCGCCUUUGGUCUUCCUCCGGAUAUCUACGCAUUUCACCACUCCACCCGGAAUUCGAUGUCCCUCUCUGGCCCUCAAGUCCGGCAGUUUUUGAAGCCCCUCCCCAGUUGAGCCGGGGAUUGUCACUCCAAACUUUCCGCACCGCCUGCACGCCCUUUACGCCCAGUAACUCCGGACAACGCUCGCCCCCUACGUAUUACCGCGGCUGCUGGCAC
RNAcentral lists this ribosomal RNA (292 nucleotides) under uncultured bacterium. Its description in RNAcentral is "partial 16S ribosomal RNA". The record is from RNAcentral.